RNAcentral lists this ribosomal RNA (274 nucleotides) under uncultured bacterium. RNAcentral's name for it is "partial 16S ribosomal RNA". It matches the Rfam family "Bacterial small subunit ribosomal RNA", at positions 523 to 796 of the family's 1533-position model. The record is from RNAcentral.
AUACGGAGGGUGCAAGCGUUGUCCGGAUUUAUUGGGUUUAAAGGGUGUGUAGGCGGUGUAUUAAGUCAGUGGUGAAAGCCUGCGGCUCAACCGUAGAACUGCCAUUGAUACUGACACACUUGAGUAUGGACGAGGUAGGCGGAAUUUAUGGUGUAGCGGUGAAAUGCGUAGAUACCAUAAAGAACACCGAUAGCGAAGGCAGCUUACUAGGCCAUAACUGACGAAGAGGCACGAAAGCGUGGGGAGCGAACAGGAUUAGAAACCCCAGUAGUCC